This 492-nucleotide ribosomal RNA is filed under the name uncultured bacterium. RNAcentral's name for it is "partial 16S ribosomal RNA". It matches the Rfam family "Bacterial small subunit ribosomal RNA", at positions 29 to 507 of the family's 1533-position model. The record is from RNAcentral.
AAUGAACGCUGGCGGUAUGCCUAACACAUGCAAGUCGAACGGCAGCACAGUAAGAGCUUGCUCUUACGUGUGUCGAGUGGCGGACGGGUGAGUUAUACAUCGGAUUCUACUUUUUCGGGGGGGAUAACGUAGGGAAACUUACGCUAAUACCGCAUACAACCUACGGGUGAAAGCAGGGGAUCUUCUAACCUUUCGCGAUUGAAUGAGCCGAUGUCGGAUUAGCUAGGUGGCGGGUUAAAGGCGCACCAAGGCGACGAUCCGUAGCUGGUAUGAGAGGAAGAUUAGACACAUGGGAAGUGAGAAACGGCCGAGACUCUUACGGGAGGACGCAGUGGGGAAUAUUGGACAAUGGGGGAAAGCCGGAUACAGCAAUACCGCGUGGGUGAAGAAGGACUUCGGGUUGUAAAGUCCUUUUGUUGGGAAAGAAAAGAAGCAGGUUAAUCCGCGGCGGUUCUGACGGUACCGAAAGAAUAAGCACCGGCUAACUUCGUG